Molecule: ribosomal RNA, 420 nt
Filed under: uncultured bacterium
Lineage: Bacteria
Description: bacterial SSU rRNA
Rfam family: Bacterial small subunit ribosomal RNA
Source: RNAcentral
GGAAUAUUGCACAAUGGGCGCAAGCCUGUUGCAGCCAUGCCGCGCGUGUGAAGAGGGCUGUCGGGUUGUAAAGCACUCUCAGCGGGGAGGAAGGCGGUAAGGUUAAUAACCUUGUCGAUUGACGUUACCCGCAGAAGAAGCACCGGCUAACUCCGUGCCAGCAGCCGCGGUAAUACGGAGGGUGCAAGCGUUAAUCGGAAUUACUGGGCGUAAAGCGCACGCAGGCGGUCUGUCAAGUCGGAUGUGAAAUCCCCGGGCUCAACCUGGGAACUGCAUUCGAAACUGGCAGGCUAGAGUCUUGUAGAGGGGGGUAGAAUUCCAGGUGUAGCGGUGAAAUGCGUAGAGAUCUGGAGGAAUACCGGUGGCGAAGGCGGCCCCCUGGACAAAGACUGACGCUCAGGUGCGAAAGCGUGGGGAGCA